GGCGCUAUAGUGUAGUGGUUAUCACUUGGGAUUCUGAUUGUCUGAUUGGUGUUCCCAAAACCCAGGUUCGAGCCCUGGUAGCGCCU
This is a non-coding RNA of Cubamyces sp. BRFM 1775, 86 nucleotides long. NCBI's taxonomy places the organism in Eukaryota, Fungi, Basidiomycota, Agaricomycetes, Polyporales, Polyporaceae. The record is from the annotation of a GenBank genome assembly.